This 3774-nucleotide long non-coding RNA is filed under the name Cicer arietinum (chickpea). RNAcentral's name for it is "long non-coding RNA (CARI_LNC000794)". The record is from RNAcentral. Lineage: Eukaryota; Viridiplantae; Streptophyta; Magnoliopsida; Fabales; Fabaceae.
UAAGAUUUCUUUAUAUUUCCUCUAUGAAUAAUAACCUCGAAGUGUCUUGUGAGGGGAGUUUGAAAAUGCAUUUUAUUUCCUUGAAGAGAGUUUUCAUUGAUUUUCAAAGAAACUACUCGCUUUUUAAAUUGUUUAAUGUAGGUUGCAAAUGCAUUUUAUUUCAGCUUGUUUAAUUUGUUUCAAAUUUAAUUUGUUUAAUUUGUAAUUAUUUAUAAUUUUGUUGUCAAGUGAACCAAAUUUGAAGUGACCGGUCAACCUUCAGGUUGGAAAUGCAUUUUAUUUUAGCUUGUUUGAUAUGCAUUUUUUCUUUCUAGGAUGCAAGGCCAAGUGAACUAAAUUUGAAGUAAUCGAUCAACCUUCAUCUAAUUUGGCUUUCAACCUUAAUUUAAUUGCUUUGGCUUUCAUUUUAUUUGUAUGACCAUUUUACAUGUUUAAUUUAGAUAUCAUUCAAAAUUAUGUGGGUGGUUUUGUUUGGGUUAAAUAGUUUAAGUUUCAACACUAUCAAAACUAUUGAUACUUGAUGACAUGGUUUUCUUUCAAUUCAAAAACAUUGAAUUCAAUGGUUUAAUUGCAUUAUAUUAAAAUUUCAAUUUAUGGGGUUUGGGCCUUGUAAAAUAUUGAAUCAUGUUUAUUUGAGCCUAUGUAAAAACAAUGGAAAUAGUGACCCAAGAUGAAACAAUGUAUGUGAUUUGGGUAUAUGGGUAAAACAACAUAAGAAAGAGUUUUGCUGAAAUUAGGCCUCAUUAGUCCAUGACCAAGAUUUUUGCCAUUGCCUAGCAAAUAUCUUUUUCACCCAAAUAUGGAAAAAGUAUAUAAUAAGUGACAUAAAUUAUAAAAUAACCCAUUAAAAAUAAAUUAUUAUAAUAGUAAUUACGAAGAAAAUACUAUAAAAUAAUAAUUAAAACAUACAUUUUUAUUUAUUUAUUUUCCAUUCAAUAAAAUAUAAUAAUUUUUACCAAAAUAAAAUUUAAUAAUUUGUUUUUAAAAAAAUAUUAUAAAUAGGAUCAGCACUAACACAACCUUGGGCUUCAAGUUUCUGUUUGAGGGAGAGAAAAAGGGGACUAACGCGACCUUGAAUUUCGAUGAAUUUGUAGUCGUUGAAUCUGAAUCGUUGAAUCGGUGGUCUCUUUUUCUGAAUUCAAGUUUCGCAUUCAGGUUUCAAGAUUCUUUAUAGUUGUUUGGCGUCAAUGUUUGGAGGCAACUCUUCUCUGUUUGGUUUCCGACGGUGACAUCCCAUUCUUGAAAUUCAACCAAGAACGUUCAACUCGGUAAAUCUUGAUUAUUCAAACCCUAGAUAUCUAAUUUGAAUUGGUACCAAAAAGAGACGGAUUCUGAAUUGAUGCUAGGGCUUCAUACUGGUUUGCAAACUUUUUUUACUGCUGUGCUUUGAGUCUGAAAUUGACUUUCCAUUUUCCUCUGUUUUCAAAGUCCUUUUUUUCUUCUUCUUUUUAUUUCCUGCAAUUGGUUAUUUGAUAGCUUGCUUUAUGAUGUCUUAUUAAAUGUCGAACCUAUUUGGAAAAUUAAAAAUUAUGUUACAUGUUCAAUUCAACUAAUCAAGGUAGUGUGGUUCAUUUGCAUGAUCCCUUGAUUAAUGGUUAGAAUAUAGCUAUUUUUACACACUUUACAUUAGCAACAAAUAUCAAGUUGAUUUGAUGUGGAUGUAUUUUGCAAGGGGUAGAAUUCUUGGAUGCAAGAUCAAGUAGAACAUCAAGUUGUUUUACUAAUGAAAGCAAGCACCAAUUUUUUUUUGUCCGAUGUGCAUUAACCUUCCAAAUUAUACAUAGUUUUAUCAUGUUUUACUUGUCUCUGUAAUAAAGUGACAUGAGAAAUAAAACUGGGUAGGACAUUUAGGAAUAUAUAUCAUUAGAAAUCUAUAUGUUGGUAGUGUUUAUUCAUGAGGAGUAAAAAUUUGAUAGCUUUGUUGUUCUUAUGGGUAACAUCUUUGUGAAAAUGGCAAAUGCUGCUUGAUUAGCUUGUGGGGCUUAUGGGGUGUUCCUAGUCAAGGGGUUGUGUGCAGGUGCGUCAUCAUGGAAAUUCAUGAUAAAUUGAAUAAAGUACCUGACCUGUUAGUGGUUUUGGUGUUGGUGAUAAAAAAAAUGGGAUAGUAUGUUUGGAUGACCCUAGAUUUAGUUACGAGAUGAAUUUUUGAACUAAAAUGUAGCUUGUAAUAUUAAUUUUUUUAUCCAUAUAAAAUUGGGAUAGUAUGCUGGGAUGAUCUUAAAUUUAGUCACGAGAUGAAUUAUUGAGAGAAAAAUGUGGCAUAUUUUUUAUACAUAUGAAAUUGGGAUAAUGGGCUUUGAUGACACCCUAAAUUUAUUCACAAGAUAGACUCUUGACACAUUAUGUGGCUUGCAAUAUGAAUUUUAUAUUUAUAUGAAAUUGAGAUAGUAGACUUGGAUGACUUUAAAUUUAAUCACAAGAUGGAUUAUUGACCCAAAAGAUUUUGCAAUAUGAAUUUUUAUUCAUAUGAAAUUGGUAUAGUAUGUUUGGAUGACCCCUCAAGUUAAUCACGAGAUAGAUUAUUGACAAAAAAUUGUCGCUUGCAUUGAGUUUUUAUUCAUAUGAAAUUGGGAUAGUAUGCUUGAACGACCCUGAAUUUAAUAAUGGGAUGGAUUCUAGACCCAAAAUGUGGUUUAAUAUAUGAAUUUUAUAUUCAUAUAAAAUUGUGAUGGUACGCUUGGAUGACCCUAAAUUUAAUCACGGAUGGUGGAUUAUUGACCUAAAAUGUGGCUUUGCAAUAUGAAUUUUGUAAUCGUGUGAAUUUGAAAGUACGCUUGGAUGUCCCUAAAUUUAAUCAUGAGAAUGACUCUUGACCAAAAUGUGUCUUGCAAUAUGAAUAAUUUAUUCGUAUGAAUUUGGGAUAGUAUGGAUGGCAAUAAACUCUAAAUGCAACUUCAAUAUGAAUAUUUAUUUGUCUUGAAUGACAAUGGUAAGCUUGCCUUUAGACGACUAGUAUUGUGUUUCGAUGAUUUUGGACGUCAAAUUUGACAUUUGAGCUUAGACGAUCCUAUAUACCAUCAAUUGGGUUGACAAUAUUGUGCCUCUAUAACCAUGGAUGUUAAAUUUGAUAUUUGAGACUAGUAGAUUGACUACGAUAAAUGAAGAUGAUGAUAUUGUGUUUCAAUAACCUUAGAUUUGAAAUUUGAUCUUGUGACGAUGAUAUUGGACCUUGAUGAACAUAUGAUCUUAAAGUAAAAAAUUGAGAUGUUGGUAUUGUCCCUUGGAUGCAAAUUUUAAUAUUUAGAGCAUAAAUGGUCUCAAAUUCGAUAGAUUAAAGUGAUGAUAUUGUACCUUGACGAUAUUGAUAAUUGAACCUAGAUGUUCCAAAUUAUACAUAGUUUUAUCAUAUUCUAUUGUCUUUGUAAUAAAGUGACAUGAGGAAUAUAAGCCUACUUUUUAAAACCUUGUUGGCUAUUCUUCUUUAUGCAUGCAAUUGUAUCAUUAGAAAUCUAUAUGUUGGUAGUGUUUAUUCAUCAGGAGUAAAAAUUUAAUAGGUUUGUUCUUAUGGAGAGCCUCUUUGUGAAAGUGGUAAAUGAUGCUUGAAGAGCUUGUGGGACUUUUGGGCGUUCCUAGUCAAGGUGUUGUGUGUUGGCGUGUCAUCGUGGGAAUUCAUGAUAAAUUGAAUAAAAUUUGGUUACGUAUGUGACCUAUUAGUGGUUUCGGUGUUGCUGAUCAAAUUUUUAUAUUUGGUAGUUGUCUUAACAAAAAAAAAAUGGAAUAGUAUAUUUGGAUGAUUUUAGAUUUAGUUUCGAGAUGAAUUUUUGAACUAAAAUG